GGGAGAACUCCAAGUGCAGAUCAUCUAACCCUCAAUAAUCCCAGACAUUGGUUAUUUAUUGGAAGCAGUUCCCUCUGAAAACUGAAAUGCUAGGAAUUACGGUGGAUUGGUAACAAAAAAUGAAGCACUCACCAAAGAGAGGCAAGUGAAGAUUUCUGGAUUUUGCUGAGACACAAUAAGAUAGAAGUGCACAAAAGGCUUCUUACAAGCUCUGAUCACUCAACAGCUGAGAACUGAGAUGUCACCUAAUCUAAGGAACAGCUUCUUGCUUGGGAAAUUGAUUACUCUGGUCCAUGCUGUUCAGGGCUGGAGCUCAAGCCAGUCAGAAGCGCACACUGUACCAGCAUCAACUGCAGCCUGAUCAUUUUCAUCUGGCCACGUGGGACAGUAAAUGGCC
This is a long non-coding RNA of Calidris pugnax (ruff), 397 nucleotides long. RefSeq lists it as uncharacterized. Lineage: Eukaryota; Metazoa; Chordata; Aves; Charadriiformes; Scolopacidae. The record is from RefSeq and is a predicted model, not a curated record. The transcript is spliced from 3 exons.